GACGAACGCUGGCGGCGUGCCUAACACAUGCAAGUCGAACGGAAAGGCUCCAGCUUGCUGGAGUACUCGAGUGGCGAACGGGUGAGUAACACGUGGGUAAUCUGCCCUGCACUCUGGGAUAAGCCUGGGAAACUGGGUCUAAUACUGGAUAUGACCUUUCUCCUUAUGGGGUUUGGUGGAAAGUUUUUCGGUGUAGGAUGAGCCCGCGGCCUAUCAGCUUGUUGGUGGGGUGAUGGCCUACCAAGGCGACGACGGGUAGCCGGCCUGAGAGGGUGAUCGGCCACAUUGGGACUGAGAUACGGCCCAGACUCCUACGGGAGGCAGCAGUGGGGAAUAUUGCACAAUGGGCGGAAGCCUGAUGCAGCGACGCCGCGUGAGGGAUGACGGCCUUCGGGUUGUAAACCUCUUUCAGCAGGGACGAAGCGUAAGUGACGGUACCUGCAGAAGAAGCACCGGCUAACUAUGUG
This 467-nucleotide ribosomal RNA is filed under the name uncultured bacterium. RNAcentral describes it as "partial 16S ribosomal RNA". It matches the Rfam family "Bacterial small subunit ribosomal RNA", at positions 28 to 507 of the family's 1533-position model. The record is from RNAcentral.